UACGUAGGGUGCGAGCGUUGUCCGGAAUUAUUGGGCGUAAAGAGCUCGUAGGCGGUUUGUCACGUCGGCUGUGAAAUCCCGAGGCUUAACCUCGGGCUUGCAGUCGAUACGGGCAGACUUGAGUGGUGCAGGGGAGACUGGAAUUCCUGGUGUAGCGGUGAAAUGCGCAGAUAUCAGGAGGAACACCGAUGGCGAAGGCAGGUCUCUGGGCAUUAACUGACGCUGAGGAGCGAAAGCGUGGGGAGCGAACAGG
Molecule: ribosomal RNA, 253 nt
Filed under: uncultured bacterium
Lineage: Bacteria
Description: partial 16S ribosomal RNA
Rfam family: Bacterial small subunit ribosomal RNA
Source: RNAcentral